RNAcentral lists this ribosomal RNA (591 nucleotides) under uncultured bacterium. RNAcentral's name for it is "partial 16S ribosomal RNA". It matches the Rfam family "Bacterial small subunit ribosomal RNA", at positions 355 to 1375 of the family's 1533-position model. The record is from RNAcentral.
UGGGGAAUUUUGGACAAUGGGCGAAAGCCUGAUCCAGCAAUGCCGCGUGUGUGAAGAAGGCCUUCGGGUUGUAAAGCACUUUUGUCCGGAAAGAAAUCCUUGGCUCUAAUACAGUCGGGGGAUGACGGUACCGGAAGAAUAAGCACCGGCUAACUACGUGCCAGCAGCCGCGGUAAUACGUAGGGUGCAAGCGUUAAUCGGAAUUACUGGGCGUAAAGCGUGCGCAGGCGGUUUGCUAAGACCGAUGUGAAAUCCCCGGGCUCAACCUGGGAACUGCAUUGGUGACUGGCAGGCUAGAGUAUGGCAGAGGGGGGUUAGAAUUCCACGUGUAGCAGUGAAAUGCGUAGAGAUGUGGAGGAAUACCGAUGGCGAAGGCAGCCCCCUGGGCCAAUACUGACGCUCAUGCACGAAAAGCGUGGGGGAGCAAAACAGGAUUAGAUACCCUGGUAGUCCACGCCCUAAAACGAUGUCAACUAGUUGUUGGGGAUUCAUUUCCUUAGUAACGUAGCUAACGCGUGAAGUUGACCGCCUGGGGAGUACGGUCGCAAGAUUAAAAACUCAAAUGAAUUGACGGGGUCAUAGCUGUUUCCU